Molecule: long non-coding RNA, 2624 nt
Organism: Triplophysa dalaica
Lineage: Eukaryota; Metazoa; Chordata; Actinopteri; Cypriniformes; Nemacheilidae
Exons: 3
Source: RefSeq, a predicted model, not a curated record
GUAUCGUGUUACAAAUUUCAAAGAACCGGGGAUUCGAUAGGACACUUGCUUUUCUGUUCUGUGUAUCGAUUCCUGACUUUUAAAUCACUCGGGUACGGCAGUGAGCAUUUUAGCGUUGUAUCUGUCUACCAGGACCUGCGACAAAACGUUCAGAAGUUUGGUUAAACUUUGAGAAAAAAGAUGAUAGCUUUGCCACAUGCAAUACGUGUGGUAAAGAUAUUUCCUGAAAGGGAGGAAGUACCUCUUAUAUUAUGAAACGCGAAAUGCACCGUGUUUAAGUGUCUCAGCCUCGAGUCUUCCUGCUACAACGCACCAGAUAACGUUAGCUAUUGCAGCGUCUCAAACUCAGGAACAAAAUACAGAUAGAGAUGAAAAGACAAUCAUUUUUGUUUAAGUUACUUUAUUUUUUAAUGGUGCUAUUCACAAUUAAAUAUAUCCCGGAAGCCACAGGACAACGUGUUCCAGUAUAUUUUAAACGAUAUUAAUUUGAAUUAUUAAUCCAAUCACUUUUAAAAAAUGAAUUAAUUCAUUAACUUAUUUUAUUCACAAAUGAUUGUUUAGAUAAUGGACGAUCUAGCUACUGCAUGUUAUAUAUUUUAUGUUGUAUUUUUGUGUUAUACUUAAAUAGUUUGGGUUUGUAAAUGCUUCUGAUUAUUCCAUGAUGGAAGUGUUGUUUAUUUAAUUAUUUUUCAAAUUGUCACAGUUAACAGUUAUGUGGCUAGAAUAAGUGAAAACUGUUUUCUUUAAGUAUUUGAUAUUUUUUUCUCUCCCCCCAAAAUAAUCGAUAAGAACCGGAUUCUAUAAGCAGAACCGGAACCGGAAUCGCUAAAAUUAAAACGAUACCCAACCCUACUCAUUAUGGAUCCUCGAGCAAACGUCUAAUAUAGAAAACAAAAUCACCUUUUCAUAACAGUUUGAUCAUAGGCACGCAAGGCACUCCAUAUCACAAGAAAGAGAGGAGGCUGGCGCCACCUAUUGGUCAAACCAUUCAACGAAAUGUGCAUGUGUAGCCCUUGUGGUAUUUGGUAUGUUUCAGGGCUCAAAAACACCUUUCUCAAGUAUAUACUUAUGUGUGUCGACUGGCAUAGCUGAAAUUUAACACGGUUUACAAUUAUGUUAGAGCUUUCUAAACUGAAAACAGUUAGCAGCGACAUAUUUUAAAAAUCAUCAGUCCCUUUGUUUUGUCUCAAAAUGCGCAAAAUUUUAUUUUUGUAGGGCAUGUUUAAAAAUAACUUAAAUGGCCUAAUUUAUAAAGCCAGUCCUGGUUUAAGAUAACCCCUGUCCGGGAAACCACCCCCUUAAGUACUAUGUAGAUGAGGCAAUGCUUAAAUUAGUGUUUUUUAUUUAUCUUUGUGUAUUGCAGACACAAGGAUCAAACAUCUCUAUAGUUCACACCUGCUAUCUGUCAGGUUACACUGACGUCAUAAAGCUGGGCAGUGUGUUUGAUACUCCAUGUGUUAACAAACAAACUCCUUAUAAACCUGAUGACAAGCUCCAAAUGAAGGGCACUGGAAACUUCUAUCAUUGCCAGGGAAAUAUUUCUCAUCUCUUCUCUUUUAACAACUGCUCUUAUUCCAAAUGCUCUUUUAAUGCAUUCCAGCCCAACAUUACAGGAAACUUUAUGGUAGGAGAGUUCAUACUGCAUAUAAGUAAAACAGUUACACAAUCACUUUUAAUUUGAUUGCUUUGUUCCAAAUUUUCUUUUUACUCGUAAAACAUUCUUUCCCUAGGAAACAUUAAUAAAAUAUUUUGGGUGUAAUACUGUAUGCUAAAUGUUUAUGAUGCUGUGCAUUUGCCGUAAACGCUUAUUUUAACCACUUGAUUAAUAAUUGUGAUGUACGUAAACGCACUUUCUCUCGCACAGCCAUUUGCUGCUUUCUUCUACACUAUAGAGUUCUUACAGAAAGCUACAGGCAUCACCAUCACCUCCCCAGCACACAUAGAGAAGGCUGCGAGUUAUGUCUGUAACAUGAGUUUUCCGGAGGUACCUCCUCAUUUGUUGAAGUCUGCAAUGACUUCUAUGUCCUAGCAAUUUACUAGAAGAUCCAUGACAUUCACAGAUCCUGGAUUAAAACAAUAAAAAAUAAAAGUUUUUAAUUCAAAUGUGAUUAAAUUUGAGAUUUCCUCCAAGGGGAGAGAGUUAAUAAGAGAAAUGGUUACAGCUGAGAAAAAUGUUCAUCAAAUAAACUCUUGCUUUACAUUCUCUCCUCCAGAUGCAAAUUAAGUUUCCUGAUGAGGGGAAAUAUUUGAUGGACUACUGUGCAGAUUCUGUCUUUGUCCACAUGCUCCUUAUCAGUGGUUAUGGCUUUAAUAAUCUCUCUUUCUCACACAUCUUCUUUCAGGAGGAAGUAAGUCCCGAAUAAGCCUUCAAGGAUGAAUACACCUCUGUUGGCUGGUCCCUUCGCUAUAUGUUAAGUUUAAGCACCUUUCUUCUAGCUGAAAAGGUGGCACUGAGAAAAGCACUACGCCAAGAUGCCUGCAGCGCUGCAAUUUUUUAAAUCUUUUCGGGCCUUUUUUUGCAUCUUUCUUUUGUCUUGUUAGAACCUACUACAAAAAUACCACUAAAGCGCCAGUCAGCGGAGUGUAGCGUACAGCACGAGGUCGGAACCUUUCUGAAGCGGAAC